GCCGGGAUGGUGGAAUUGGUAGACACGCCAGCUUGAGGGGCUGGUGGGCGCUUUAGCCCGUGCAGGUUCAAAUCCUGUUCCCGGCACCA
RNAcentral lists this transfer RNA (89 nucleotides) under Planctomycetota bacterium. RNAcentral's name for it is "tRNA-Leu". It matches the Rfam family "tRNA". From Rfam's summary of the family: Transfer RNA (tRNA) molecules are approximately 80 nucleotides in length. Their secondary structure includes four short double-helical elements and three loops (D, anti-codon, and T loops). Further hydrogen bonds mediate the characteristic L-shaped molecular structure. tRNAs have two regions of fundamental functional importance: the anti-codon, which is responsible for specific mRNA codon recognition, and the 3' end, to which the tRNAs corresponding amino acid is attached (by aminoacyl-tRNA synthetases). tRNAs cope with the degeneracy of the genetic code in two manners: having more than one tRNA (with a specific anti-codon) for a particular amino acid; and 'wobble' base-pairing, i.e. permitting non-standard base-pairing at the 3rd anti-codon position. The record is from RNAcentral. Lineage: Bacteria; Pseudomonadati; Planctomycetota.